CAGUCGCCACGGUAAUACGAGGGGGGCAAGCGUUGUUCGGAAUUAUUGGGCGUAAAGGGUGCGUAGGCGGUUCAGCAAGUCUCGUGUGAAAUCUUCGGGCUCAACCCGAAGUCUGCACGGGAAACUACUGGGCUUGAGUAAUGGAGAGGUGAGUGGAAUUUCCGGUGUAGCGGUGAAAUGCGUAGAUAUCGGAAGGAACACCUGUGGCGAAAGCGGCUCACUGGACAUUUACUGACGCUGAUGCACGAAAGCUAGGGGAGCAAACAGGAUUAGAGACCCCAGUAGUCCCUGUCUCUUAUAU
RNAcentral lists this ribosomal RNA (301 nucleotides) under uncultured bacterium. RNAcentral describes it as "partial 16S ribosomal RNA". It matches the Rfam family "Bacterial small subunit ribosomal RNA", at positions 509 to 809 of the family's 1533-position model. The record is from RNAcentral.